This 1732-nucleotide ribosomal RNA is filed under the name Escherichia coli. RNAcentral's name for it is "partial 23S ribosomal RNA". It matches the Rfam family "Bacterial large subunit ribosomal RNA", at positions 419 to 2136 of the family's 2925-position model. RNAcentral also lists the same sequence under 1 other name. Lineage: Bacteria; Pseudomonadati; Pseudomonadota; Gammaproteobacteria; Enterobacterales; Enterobacteriaceae. The record is from RNAcentral.
GGGACACGUGGUAUCCUGUCUGAAUAUGGGGGGACCAUCCUCCAAGGCUAAAUACUCCUGACUGACCGAUAGUGAACCAGUACCGUGAGGGAAAGGCGAAAAGAACCCCGGCGAGGGGAGUGAAAAAGAACCUGAAACCGUGUACGUACAAGCAGUGGGAGCACGCUUAGGCGUGUGACUGCGUACCUUUUGUAUAAUGGGUCAGCGACUUAUAUUCUGUAGCAAGGUUAACCGAAUAGGGGAGCCGAAGGGAAACCGAGUCUUAACUGGGCGUUAAGUUGCAGGGUAUAGACCCGAAACCCGGUGAUCUAGCCAUGGGCAGGUUGAAGGUUGGGUAACACUAACUGGAGGACCGAACCGACUAAUGUUGAAAAAUUAGCGGAUGACUUGUGGCUGGGGGUGAAAGGCCAAUCAAACCGGGAGAUAGCUGGUUCUCCCCGAAAGCUAUUUAGGUAGCGCCUCGUGAAUUCAUCUCCGGGGGUAGAGCACUGUUUCGGCAAGGGGGUCAUCCCGACUUACCAACCCGAUGCAAACUGCGAAUACCGGAGAAUGUUAUCACGGGAGACACACGGCGGGUGCUAACGUCCGUCGUGAAGAGGGAAACAACCCAGACCGCCAGCUAAGGUCCCAAAGUCAUGGUUAAGUGGGAAACGAUGUGGGAAGGCCCAGACAGCCAGGAUGUUGGCUUAGAAGCAGCCAUCAUUUAAAGAAAGCGUAAUAGCUCACUGGUCGAGUCGGCCUGCGCGGAAGAUGUAACGGGGCUAAACCAUGCACCGAAGCUGCGGCAGCGACGCUUAUGCGUUGUUGGGUAGGGGAGCGUUCUGUAAGCCUGUGAAGGUGUGCUGUGAGGCAUGCUGGAGGUAUCAGAAGUGCGAAUGCUGACAUAAGUAACGAUAAAGCGGGUGAAAAGCCCGCUCGCCGGAAGACCAAGGGUUCCUGUCCAACGUUAAUCGGGGCAGGGUGAGUCGACCCCUAAGGCGAGGCCGAAAGGCGUAGUCGAUGGGAAACAGGUUAAUAUUCCUGUACUUGGUGUUACUGCGAAGGGGGGACGGAGAAGGCUAUGUUGGCCGGGCGACGGUUGUCCCGGUUUAAGCGUGUAGGCUGGUUUUCCAGGCAAAUCCGGAAAAUCAAGGCUGAGGCGUGAUGACGAGGCACUACGGUGCUGAAGCAACAAAUGCCCUGCUUCCAGGAAAAGCCUCUAAGCAUCAGGUAACAUCAAAUCGUACCCCAAACCGACACAGGUGGUCAGGUAGAGAAUACCAAGGCGCUUGAGAGAACUCGGGUGAAGGAACUAGGCAAAAUGGUGCCGUAACUUCGGGAGAAGGCACGCUGAUAUGUAGGUGAAGCGACUUGCUCGUGGAGCUGAAAUCAGUCGAAGAUACCAGCUGGCUGCAACUGUUUAUUAAAAACACAGCACUGUGCAAACACGAAAGUGGACGUAUACGGUGUGACGCCUGCCCGGUGCCGGAAGGUUAAUUGAUGGGGUCAGCGCAAGCGAAGCUCUUGAUCGAAGCCCCGGUAAACGGCGGCCGUAACUAUAACGGUCCUAAGGUAGCGAAAUUCCUUGUCGGGUAAGUUCCGACCUGCACGAAUGGCGUAAUGAUGGCCAGGCUGUCUCCACCCGAGACUCAGUGAAAUUGAACUCGCUGUGAAGAUGCAGUGUACCCGCGGCAAGACGGAAAGACCCCGUGAACCUUUACUAUAGCUUGACACUGAACAUUGAGCCUUGAUG